This is a long non-coding RNA of Frieseomelitta varia, 686 nucleotides long. RefSeq lists it as uncharacterized. Lineage: Eukaryota; Metazoa; Arthropoda; Insecta; Hymenoptera; Apidae. The transcript has 3 exons. The record is from RefSeq and is a predicted model, not a curated record.
UUUAAUUUUAAUUUAAAUUACGACGGCAUUUAAGAGAUUAUGGUUGGAUUAGGAAAUAGUUGGUCGUAUCGAGCGUAACUUCUCGAUGAAUAUUCGAUCAUUAUGGCGAGUAUAAUCGCCGUCUGUCGUUCGUUUGUAACCCGGCGAAUUAUUAAUCAGCGAAAUGGAAACGCGGCCUGUCAGGUGAAAUAAAUGGGCCGACUUUUGUUGAAAAUAUCUUGGAGAUCGAUCCGUCAUGGAUCGUUACUAAUUGAUCCGACAUUGAUCAAGACGUGUAUAGACACUGGUCGCAUUCGAGCGACCAACUUACAAACCCGACCUGCUUGUAAACGGAGCUUCAACUGUAAACAACGAGGAAGCGAAGAAAGAAAAAAAGACGAGAAGGAAAAAUGAGAGAGGGGUGGGGAGGAAAAGAAGAGUCACGUGACCUCGGAAUUUUCCUCGAGUUUCUCGCGCGUUCACCGGCGAACAGACGACACAACGGUGAUCGUGGAAGCCCGGUACCUCUGCACGCAACGCGCGAGCGAAAGCUCGAUUCCGUAACGUCGGUACCGACGCACUCUACUGACCUGCCCCGCUCGAUGGAAACGGGUCAAGGCUACGUGCACCGACCCUAUGUAACUUUCUACGCGGCUAACCCGCCCACCUAUUAUCCUUUCGGCCAUCCAGCUGGAAGUACUCAUUCA